Non-coding RNA from Rattus norvegicus (Norway rat), 3053 nucleotides. Lineage: Eukaryota; Metazoa; Chordata; Mammalia; Rodentia; Muridae. The record is from RefSeq and is a predicted model, not a curated record.
GCCGCUCUAGUGGCUUCGGGGCCUGAAACCCCAGGCUUGGCUUGUUUGAUGUUUAGCAUCCCAAAGCGGCUCCCCACCCCCGCCCCAGCCUGGGAACCCCGAGCUCCGGGGCCGAAGAGAAGGGGAAGCAGUUCUCUCAGCUGGAGGGCGGUGGAUUGGCUGGGCUUAGAGAAGUGGCGAAAACUACAGGACUCCCCGCCCUGAGCAGGGGAGAAAGGGAUCCCGGAAUGAUGCGGUCAUCCAUGAGGAUAUAGCUGGAGUCCUAAAGGCCAAGAGGCAGACGGGGAAAGAAAUGUCACAAUUUGGGGGAAUACACUGGAGAUAGGGGCCAGGUCGGUGGAAAUAGCUUGGGGCCACCGCGAAAACAAGGUAAGCGGUGUCUGGGUCCAGUUAGUGAGCAUCGAGAACGGCGUCCACGACUGCAGGGCUAUCAGGGCCUCGAGGAGACAGCGCUCCGUGCCACUGCUUAGUGCUUGGCCUUUCAUAGGGACGAACCUGCUUAGGAGUCUUCCAAGAGAUUUUUAAAUCCUCCGAGUCUGGACCUGGAAGCUCCAUUGGCGACGUUUGGAUCUGGCUUCGUAGUCUUUGAUUUCGAAAGCCCAGGAAGAUUCGCAGACUUUCAAGGCCGCACACACCGCAUUGCCGGGAGUCUGGGCGGCGGUGAGGACUGAGAAGCUGUCUCAAGACCUGAGUCUCUUCUCAGGCGAUCCCAGAUAAGAGGAGAGAGAGAGAGCUUUUCUGACUUCCAACUCAUUAGGGACCAGAUUUGCUCUCCAGCACAGCAAAAGGGUCUGCCUGUGACCCUCACCGAACUCACUCUUCACUGCUUUAUAGAGACCAUCAGACUCAGGACAAAUAUUCUAGUUUGGAUGCGCAAUUAAUAAUAAGAAGAUACAGGACAGAGGCGGACUGAAUGGCUCCAAUUCUCAGAAUGUGAAAGCGUAAAUCAGAACCUACUAUUUUGUAAAACCAACUUGGAAAACAAAAUUGUCAGAAGCAAAACAACAACAACAACAACAAUAAAAACCAAACCAACAACAAAACCAAGCAAGUCAGGCUGUUUUACCAAUAAAGGGGGCACUGAAUGGAAUCAGAGAUCUGAUAAGUGCCGGGAAGUUGGACUAAGAGGGACAGGAGACUUCGAAACUUCUCUGAAUACUGCUUUGCUGCUGACUUCCAAGGAGAUCUCACCAGAGCUGAGCUGAAGCCAGGACCAUAGUGUUAUUGACAUUACCCCCAGAGACAUGAAGAAACAUCUGCUGCCCCUAGAUAUGAAACCAACACAGACCAAACCAACUGUCAGUACUGCAAGUGGUCCACCCACCAAAGAGAUGGAACUCAACGUGGUAGAAUAGAAGCUGAGACAUGUGGACUUGACAGACUUGAGACUCGGCUAUUCAUCCCAGCUCUGAGAGCCCAUGCAGCUCAUUGAGCCUUCGCGACUCCUGGUUUUACUUUCAGCAAAAUGGAGAUAUUAAGCUCUGGGAUCAGUACACGUCAACCUGAACCCGGAAGAGUUCCAAGUAUCUUUCCCCUUCUCUGUCAGGUUCGUGUUACCCUGAACCUGUGAGCUCAGAAGGAAUUUUCUGGUUUUCGGGAGACGGCAGCCAUUCAUCAUAGCUCUCCACCACUGACUGACUGAGAGUCAAUUAUCAUCAAACAUCCAUCUGCCCAUGUCUUUCUAGAAGACUCACUUGUUGCCGUCUCGACGAAUAGCAACCCUGUAGAAGUGCACACAGUGUGGCAGCUCAGCAGACUCAGCCAUUAACUGGUAAGAAGCCCAGAUCUUUGUUCCUGGAACCACAGGAAACAAGUUCUGUCAAGAGCUUAAGUGAGUUUGGAAGAGAUUGCUUUCCCAGUCGAGCCUACAGACCGGAACAGUUGGAGAGACACUUUGCCUGUGGCUUACUGAUGCCUGAAGCAGAAGGCUUGUCUGAGUCAUAUCCUGACCUUACGCUAACUGUGAGAUAGUCCUGGUUGUUUUAAACCACUAGACUGUGCUCAUUUGCUUUUCAGAACUAGAAAAUAGACAUUUGAUGCCAUCCACACGCUACAUCCCAUGCAGACACUCUGUGAGGGCUUGGAGUGGCCCUGAGAACCUAAGGCUAAUAUUGCCUGCACUUUACAGAUAAAGAAGUCAAUUUGCUUCAGUGUGAUCCAUGUUUCAACUUAAGUGUGGUUUAAGAUAUAUCUCCUCAGAUACAAAUACAUUUAAGAAACAUUCUCCUUGGCGUACACUGGCCGUAAGAUGAGUGGUUUUCUAAAGCCCACAUUAUUUGUAAAGAAACUUGCUCUGGUUUUUAUUAUUUUUAAGAGACAUAUGAUAUAUGCGUAUAUUUAUCCCACUGAAAUAAUAUUGGAUACGUAAUAGGAAAUUUUCUUUCUUGUGCUCACAGCAAUAACUAUAAACCAUUUAGAGGGGGAGAGCAUUCAUACAGGUCCACUCCACACAGGCCUGGUGCUUUCUCUGGAAUCAGAGCCUCCAGAUGCUAAUUAUUCCUACUCCAUGAUUGAGGAUUUGGAGUCGGAGACUCACCUGCAAUAUUUGGAAUACCAGUGGAGAUCCAUAUCAACAUGGAAUUUAUACAGCAGCUGGUGCCAGUCACAGCUAAUGAUGAAACUUCAGCUUAAUAAAAAGACCCCCAACUGAGUACAACCAUCUCGAAGAAAGUGUACUUAUCAAACAGCUUUCAAUCAGUUCAAGAGAGACACCUUAAUUGUGAAGAGCAAGAACCGCACAGCAGUUGUCACCAUGCCAACUUCAGAUCAAUGGCACUUCCACUGCUCUUGGUACAUAUAGCCUUGCCUAUGUCCUUAACUGCACCAACAUCCUUCCUGUUGGGAUGAGAUCUUGUCAGCUGCUAGCGUGUGAUGAUGCCUUCGUUCAUUACAUUACUAUACCCCUUAGCAAAAUUUAAACGUGUAAUGAUAAAGGUCACUACCUUUUCCUUUAAUUAAGACCUCUAUUUCUUGUUACCAGAAACAAGUGCCUAUGACAUUUUGUAUUUUCAGAAAUUAUCCUGUUGAAAUAAAGCUACACAAACAAAAUAAAA